This 68-nucleotide transfer RNA is filed under the name Phrynoglossus myanhessei. RNAcentral's name for it is "tRNA-Lys". It matches the Rfam family "tRNA". From Rfam's summary of the family: Transfer RNA (tRNA) molecules are approximately 80 nucleotides in length. Their secondary structure includes four short double-helical elements and three loops (D, anti-codon, and T loops). Further hydrogen bonds mediate the characteristic L-shaped molecular structure. tRNAs have two regions of fundamental functional importance: the anti-codon, which is responsible for specific mRNA codon recognition, and the 3' end, to which the tRNAs corresponding amino acid is attached (by aminoacyl-tRNA synthetases). tRNAs cope with the degeneracy of the genetic code in two manners: having more than one tRNA (with a specific anti-codon) for a particular amino acid; and 'wobble' base-pairing, i.e. permitting non-standard base-pairing at the 3rd anti-codon position. Lineage: Eukaryota; Metazoa; Chordata; Amphibia; Anura; Dicroglossidae. The record is from RNAcentral.
CAUUAAGAAGCUAUAGACAGCAACAGCCUUUUAAGCUGUAGAUAGGUGGUUCCGCUCACCCUUAAUGA